This 279-nucleotide ribosomal RNA is filed under the name uncultured bacterium. RNAcentral describes it as "partial 16S ribosomal RNA". It matches the Rfam family "Bacterial small subunit ribosomal RNA", at positions 506 to 784 of the family's 1533-position model. The record is from RNAcentral.
UGCCAGCCGCCGCGGUAAUACGAAGGGUGCUAGCGUUGUUCGGAAUUACUGGGCGUAAAGCGCGCGUAGGCGGUUUGUCAUGUUGAGGGUGAAAGCCCGGGGCUCAACCCCGGAACGGCCUUCAAAACGGGCAGACUUGAGACCGAGAGAGGAGAGUGGAAUUCCCAGUGUAGAGGUGAAAUUCGUAGAUAUUGGGAAGAACACCGGUGGCGAAGGCGGCUCUCUGGCUCGGUUCUGACGCUGAGGUGCGAAAGCGUGGGGAGCAAACAGGAUUAGAUA